RNAcentral lists this long non-coding RNA (213 nucleotides) under Marmota monax (woodchuck). The record is from RNAcentral. Lineage: Eukaryota; Metazoa; Chordata; Mammalia; Rodentia; Sciuridae.
AGAGGGAUAGCUGGGUCAAAUGGUGGUUCCAUUCCCAAUUUUCUGAGAAAUCUCCAUACUGCUUUCCAUAUUGGCUGCACCAAUUUGCAGUCCCACCAGCAGUGUAUGAGUGUGCCUUUUCCCCCCACAUCCUCGCCAACACUUAUUGUUGUUUGUCUUCAUAAUAGCUGCCAUUCUGACUGGAGUGAGAUGAAAUCUUAGAGUAGUUUUGAU